RNAcentral lists this non-coding RNA (22 nucleotides) under Rattus norvegicus (Norway rat). The record is from RNAcentral. Lineage: Eukaryota; Metazoa; Chordata; Mammalia; Rodentia; Muridae.
CUGACGCCUUUUCUGUGUAGCC